CAGUCGACGGCAGCAUAGGAGCUUGCUCCUGAUGGCGAGUGGCGAACGGGUGAGUAAUAUAUCGGAACGUGCCCUAGAGUGGGGGAUAACUAGUCGAAAGACUAGCUAAUACCGCAUACGAUCUACGGAUGAAAGUGGGGGAUCGCAAGACCUCAUGCUCCUGGAGCGGCCGAUAUCUGAUUAGCUAGUUGGUGGGGUAAAAGCCUACCAAGGCAACGAUCAGUAGCUGGUCUGAGAGGACGACCAGCCACACUGGGACUGAGACACGGCCCAGACUCCUACGGGAGGCAGCAGUGGGGAAUUUUGGACAAUGGGGGCAACCCUGAUCCAGCAAUGCCGCGUGAGUGAAGAAGGCCUUCGGGUUGUAAAGCUCUUUUGUCAGGGAAGAAACGGUAGUAGCGAAUAACUAUUACUAAUGACGGUACCUGAAGAAUAAGCACCGGCUAACUACGUGCCAGCAGCCGCGGUAAUACGUAGGGUGCAAGCGUUAAUCGGAAUUACUGGGCGUAAAGCGUGCGCAGGCGGUUGUGUAAGUCAGAUGUGAAAUCCCCGGGCUCAACCUGGGAAUUGCAUUUGAGACUGCACGGCUAGAGUGUGUCAGAGGGGGGUAGAAUUCCACGUGUAGCAGUGAAAUGCGUAGAUAUGUGGAGGAAUA
Molecule: ribosomal RNA, 655 nt
Filed under: Herbaspirillum huttiense subsp. huttiense
Lineage: Bacteria; Pseudomonadati; Pseudomonadota; Betaproteobacteria; Burkholderiales; Oxalobacteraceae
Description: bacterial SSU rRNA
Rfam family: Bacterial small subunit ribosomal RNA
Source: RNAcentral